RNAcentral lists this unclassified non-coding RNA (415 nucleotides) under soil metagenome. Its description in RNAcentral is "partial contains 5.8S ribosomal RNA, internal transcribed spacer 2, and large subunit ribosomal RNA". The stretch from base 1 to 120 matches the Rfam family "5.8S ribosomal RNA", at positions 35 to 154 of the family's 154-position model. The record is from RNAcentral.
GAUGAAGAACGCAGCGAAAUGCGAUAAGUAAUGUGAAUUGCAGAAUUCAGUGAAUCAUCGAAUCUUUGAACGCACCUUGCACUCCUUGGUAUUCCGAGGAGUACGCCUGUUCGAGUGUUAUGAAGCUCUCAAAACGCAAUUGGCUUAAAACCUGAUUGUUGUUUUGGAUUUGAACUUUGCCGUGUUAUAACGGCUGGUUUUAAAAGUAUUAGCUGGUACUAGAACGAAUUGGUUCUACUCAACGUGAUAAUUAUCUGAUCGUUGAGGACAUUCCUUUCACGAGGAAUGGCCAUAGUAAAUUCAAUGGACUGCUUCUAAUCUGGCUUUAAUUCUUUAUUGGAUUAACCACUUUUCAAAUCUGACCUCGAAUCAGGUGGGACUACCCGCUGAACUUAAGCAUAUCAAUAGCGGAGGA